Molecule: ribosomal RNA, 253 nt
Filed under: uncultured bacterium
Lineage: Bacteria
Description: partial 16S ribosomal RNA
Rfam family: Bacterial small subunit ribosomal RNA
Source: RNAcentral
UACAUGGGGUGCAAACGUUGCUCGGAAUUACUGGGCGUAAAGGGCGCGUAGGCGGGAUGGCAAGUCGGUCGUGAAAUCCUUCGGCUCAACCGAAGAACGUCGAUCGAUACUGCUGUUCUUGAGGGUUGCAGAGGAGACUGGAAUUCCCGGUGUAGCGGUGAAAUGUGUAGAGAUCGGGAGGAACACCGGUGGCGAAGGCGGGUCUCUGGGCAAUUCCUGACGCUGAGGCGCGAAAGCGUGGGGAGCAAACGGG